Molecule: non-coding RNA, 24 nt
Filed under: Arabidopsis thaliana (thale cress)
Lineage: Eukaryota; Viridiplantae; Streptophyta; Magnoliopsida; Brassicales; Brassicaceae
Source: RNAcentral
CCAUAGUGCUAUUUCAAAGGUGGU